GUGGGGAAUUUUGGACAAUGGGCGCAAGCCUGAUCCAGCAAUGCCGCGUGCAGGAAGAAGGACUUCGGGUUGUAAACUGCUUUUGUACGGAACGAAACGGUCCUGGCUAAUACCUGGGGCUAAUGACGGUACCGUAAGAAUAAGCACCGGCUAACUACGUGCCAGCAGCCGCGGUAAUACGUAGGGUGCGAGCGUUAAUCGGAAUUACUGGGCGUAAAGCGUGCGCAGGCGGUGCUGUAAGACAGGCGUGAAAUCCCCGGGCUCAACCUGGGAAUUGCGCUUGUGACUGCAGUGCUGGAGUGCGGCAGAGGGGGAUGGAAUUCCGCGUGUAGCAGUGAAAUGCGUAGAUAUGCGGAGGAACACCGAUGGCGAAGGCAAUCCCCUGGGCCUGCACUGACGCUCAUGCACGAAAGCGUGGGGAGCAAACAGGAUUAGAUACCCUGUAGUCC
This 449-nucleotide ribosomal RNA is filed under the name uncultured bacterium. RNAcentral's name for it is "partial 16S ribosomal RNA". It matches the Rfam family "Bacterial small subunit ribosomal RNA", at positions 354 to 796 of the family's 1533-position model. The record is from RNAcentral.